GUGACAGCCCCGUACACAAAAAUGCACAUAUUGUGAGCUCGAUGAGUAGGGCGGGACACGUGGUAUCCUGUCUGAAUAUGGGGGGACCAUCCUCCAAGGCUAAAUACUCCUGACUGACCGAUAGUGAACCAGUACCGUGAGGGAAAGGCGAAAAGAACCCCGGCGAGGGGAGUGAAAAAGAACCUGAAACCGUGUACGUACAAGCAGUGGGAGCACGCUUAGGCGUGUGACUGCGUACCUUUUGUAUAAUGGGUCAGCGACUUAUAUUCUGUAGCAAGGUUAACCGAAUAGGGGAGCCGAAGGGAAACCGAGUCUUAACUGGGCGUUAAGUUGCAGGGUAUAGACCCGAAACCCGGUGAUCUAGCCAUGGGCAGGUUGAAGGUUGGGUAACACUAACUGGAGGACCGAACCGACUAAUGUUGAAAAAUUAGCGGAUGACUUGUGGCUGGGGGUGAAAGGCCAAUCAAACCGGGAGAUAGCUGGUUCUCCCCGAAAGCUAUUUAGGUAGCGCCUCGUGAAUUCAUCUCCGGGGGUAGAGCACUGUUUCGGCAAGGGGGUCAUCCCGACUUACCAACCCGAUGCAAACUGCGAAUACCGGAGAAUGUUAUCACGGGAGACACACGGCGGGUGCUAACGUCCGUCGUGAAGAGGGAAACAACCCAGACCGCCAGCUAAGGUCCCAAAGUCAUGGUUAAGUGGGAAACGAUGUGGGAAGGCCCAGACAGCCAGGAUGUUGGCUUAGAAGCAGCCAUCAUUUAAAGAAAGCGUAAUAGCUCACUGGUCGAGUCGGCCUGCGCGGAAGAUGUAACGGGGCUAAACCAUGCACCGAAGCUGCGGCAGCGACGCUUAUGCGUUGUUGGGUAGGGGAGCGUUCUGUAAGCCUGCGAAGGUGUGCUGUGAGGCAUGCUGGAGGUAUCAGAAGUGCGAAUGCUGACAUAAGUAACGAUAAAGCGGGUGAAAAGCCCGCUCGCCGGAAGACCAAGGGUUCCUGUCCAACGUUAAUCGGGGCAGGGUGAGUCGACCCCUAAGGCGAGGCCGAAAGGCGUAGUCGAUGGGAAACAGGUUAAUAUUCCUGUACUUGGUGUUACUGCGAAGGGGGGACGGAGAAGGCUAUGUUGGCCGGGCGACGGUUGUCCCGGUUUAAGCGUGUAGGCUGGUUUUCCAGGCAAAUCCGGAAAAUCAAGGCUGAGGCGUGAUGACGAGGCACUACGGUGCUGAAGCAACAAAUGCCCUGCUUCCAGGAAAAGCCUCUAAGCAUCAGGUAACAUCAAAUCGUACCCCAAACCGACACAGGUGGUCAGGUAGAGAAUACCAAGGCGCUUGAGAGAACUCGGGUGAAGGAACUAGGCAAAAUGGUGCCGUAACUUCGGGAGAAGG
Molecule: ribosomal RNA, 1377 nt
Filed under: Escherichia coli
Lineage: Bacteria; Pseudomonadati; Pseudomonadota; Gammaproteobacteria; Enterobacterales; Enterobacteriaceae
Also listed under: 1 other name
Description: partial 23S ribosomal RNA
Rfam family: Bacterial large subunit ribosomal RNA
Source: RNAcentral